AGCGCAGACGGUUAUUUAAGCAAGAUGUGAAAGCCCCGGGCUCAACCUGGGAACUGCGUUUUGAACUGGGUAACUAGAGUGUGUCAGAGGGGGGUAGAAUUCCACGUGUAGCAGUGAAAUGCGUAGAGAUGUGGAGGAAUACCGAUGGCGAAGGCAGCCCCCUGGGAUAACACUGACGUUCAUGCUCGAAAGCGUGGGGAGCGAACA
RNAcentral lists this ribosomal RNA (207 nucleotides) under uncultured bacterium. RNAcentral describes it as "partial 16S ribosomal RNA". It matches the Rfam family "Bacterial small subunit ribosomal RNA", at positions 568 to 774 of the family's 1533-position model. The record is from RNAcentral.